Molecule: long non-coding RNA, 2312 nt
Organism: Oncorhynchus nerka (sockeye salmon)
Lineage: Eukaryota; Metazoa; Chordata; Actinopteri; Salmoniformes; Salmonidae
Exons: 3
Source: RefSeq, a predicted model, not a curated record
UUAACUUUUGAUGACAUUGCCUCAGUUGUUGAAAGGCUAGGCCUCUCACCAGAGGAAAUUACAGCAGCGAGCGACCAUCAAGAAAAUUGAUUAUUUUCUGUGAUGGUCAUUGAACUGGAAAGGUCUAACACCCUCAGCUAUCGCCGUCAACUAUACGACGUGUGGAGUAAGGGAAGGAUGGCCAAUGCACAACCCCACUCCAUCUCCCAGAUUUCCCAUUCACUAUCCCCAGCUCCCCUCAAUCACUACCCCAGCAAGUAUACACCACGCGGCAGCUGCCUUUAACACCAGCACAAGCAGCUGAAACGGUUGAUCCCGCUAAGGUAUCCCACCUUCCACCACUCCAACCCAAGCCUGGAUACAUUUCUGUUUGCAGGUAGUUCCUCAUCAUGUGAGGACUGGAAGGCGGACCAAAAAAGAUGGAUUCAGAAGGGAUCUCACAGCCUUCCUCGCCGUUCACCAAAACUAAGGGUGCGGUACUAUGCAGGAAAGGAAGCACCAGGGCGCCAAAAAAGGGAGGAUGAGUUGCUUCACCAGCCUGAAACUCCUGUGCUAAUUCACUACUUUGGUGAAGAGGCACACUCCAAUGUCCCCAACCCACGGCAACAGCCAACAGCAGCAAGCAAGGGAUUUAAUCCGAUCAGCUACCUUAAUUAUAGAUGAAAUGUCCCGACGAAAGACUGAAACACCUGGCAAAGUGUACUCUGAUAUGACCAAUAACCCACCACCACCCCCAAAUGCAUCAUUCAUGCCAGUUUACUGACCUCGCAACUUGGCACAAGUGAAGAACACAAUUCGUCGAGCAAGGGACAUCACUGUUUUGGACCGGGACGAGUUGGUGGCAACACAUAUGAUGGGUGACAUUCUCCCUGGAUUUGUCACCCAUAUGGAGACUCAACCCGCAACCCUUCUGGUAGUGGCAUCACCAAAAAUGGUUGAAGAGGCCACGGCAGUUAUUAAAAGCAAACACCAAGGAGCACACAUUUUUCACUAUGACACCGCGUUUGACCUCUGCAAUUUUUGUUUCACCCCUUGUUUUCAGUGAUAUAGCAUUUCAAGAGGUACCCGUCCUUCCCCUGGCAUUCCUCAUUCACACCACCCGGCACAUGGAAAACCACAAGUUCUUUCGCACCAUCCUUUCAUUCAUUCCCCAACUAUCAACUUCAAUCUUCUUUACAGACCAUGAGGUGGCUAUUGAGGGAACAAUCCAGUCUGUGCUGCCGCAAGCCAGGAUAGUCAAUUGCUGGAACCACAUCUCGAACAAUGUGAAGCAGAAGAUGGGGUCAGAGGGUGCUGACGGUGUGGCCCGAUUACCAGCAGGCCAUCAAAGAGCUCUUGGCCACGAAAUCAAGGAGUGACUACGAAUGCACACUGGAGUGUGUGCCUCCACUGGAGCCCUGAUUUCGAGGCUUAUUUCCAUCAGUUGCUCUCUGACGCCAUGGACAAGGGUGCACAAUAUGUGCUCAACAGCUUGGGCAUCCAGUCAGAUGAAAUUACCAACAAAUGCUCAGAGCUUCAAUGCUGUCCUCAAGGAAUUGGUUUGAUGGAAGGUCAGAGUAGACAGUGGUUUAUCUACUCUACCAACUCCAAACCAAAGCCUUGAGGGAGGUGCUGCGGGGCUACUGUAACCUAGGGAAUUUCUACCUGACCCCAGAGUGCCAUGAGCAAUUUUCCAGGUGAAUGCUCACCACCAGUUUCCCCUACCACAUGUUAGAAGAAGACAUGGUGUAUUUUGCUGAAGGCAUCCAGUCCUGUGUGGCACAAGGAAGAGGUUGUGGAUAAGUGGAAGAAAUCGGAGUGGCAGCCUUAGCCCGAAUGAUUUUGGCAAAAGGACGUAUCCUCCUGGUGACAAGCACCAAAUCGUUCCUCUACCAGGGCUUCUCAGACAAGCAGCAUGUUGUUACUCUGUUGCCAAUGGAGACGUGCUCCUGCUCUGCAUUUGACAGUUCCCAGAGAUGUGUCCGCUGACUGGCAGCUGUACUGGCCAUUGGCGGAAGUGUACCGCCCUAUGCCAAUAAAGCUGAGGACAAGGCAUCUGGCCGCAAAACGCUCUGGCCAUAAGUGUGCCACCAAGGAGCAUGUCCAGAUGGGAGCCAAACACCAGGAAGAACAAUCGACUGUUCAUCAACAGGGUCACCUGUCUGACAAACACCCCAGCAGGGAUGAUGAAUUGGAGAAUAGAGUGAAGCAAGUGUGGGCAAUGUCGUCGGAUGGAGUGGACAGGCCAACUGCAAUAAUUUUGUUGGGAGGGAUCCUUUGCCAUCCUGCACCUCCAUGACUUCCUUACGUUGAAGCCCAAUGAGUGGCUUUAG